GCAGCGAUUUCUUUCUGGCCUGCUUUGAUCUGAGUGUCUUACAGGUUGUUGGGUUAUGAGAGCUGGGGAGUGAUGUGAUAAAUAGUUCGUGCUGUUCUAUAGCUAGUUUGUUGUUUUCUUUUUCAUUUGUACUCCCUUUGUCUGGAUAUGAGGGGGGGGAUUAGAGGCAGUUUGUUUUUUUGGGCUGGAUUUGGGUUGAGAGUACCUCGGUUUUCUUGGUGUGUUAAAACUAGUUUAGUUCUUUAGUUGCCUUUGUUUGAGUUUACAACUUUUUAAUUAUGUUUUUGAAGUAUGGUGGAAUAAGUAGUUUGAUUAGUUCUUUUUUUUCUUGGAUUCCCUCGAUCUGUUUAUUAAAAACAUUUCCAUUAUUAAGGUUUGAUGGUAGUGCCUGCCCAAUGCUUUAUGGUGAAUGGCCGCAGUAUUUUGACUGUGCUAAGGUAGCAUAAUUAGUUGUCCUAUAAUUGAGGAAUUGUUUGAAAGGUUUGAUUAGGGGGAGGGUUUAUUUUCUAGAUGAGAAUUUUCUUUGAAUUUGGUUUUUUGGUGCAGAACCCAAAGGUGGUGAGCAAGACGGAAAGACCCCGAGAGCUUGAAUUUAUUUUUUUACUUGGGGAGGGGGUAUAUGUUUCAUGUAUUUUUUGAUCCUCUGCGGAUUGUAGGGAUAAGUUACCUCGGGGAUAACUAGGUAAGAAGCAAGGAGAGGUCAUAUUGAUUUGCUUGGUUGCCAUCUCGAUGUUGGCUUGGGGAAGCAAGGAGGCGCAGCAGUUUCUUUGUGGGGUCUGUUCGACCAUAGUUCCUCAUGAGUUGAGUUAAGACCGGUGUAAGCCAGGUCGGUUCUUAUCUACUUGGGCUGUGUUCUAGUACGAAAGGAUUGUUCAUGGUUUAUGUUUA
This 888-nucleotide ribosomal RNA is filed under the name Metorchis xanthosomus. Its description in RNAcentral is "16S ribosomal RNA". The stretch from base 562 to 843 matches the Rfam family "Bacterial large subunit ribosomal RNA", at positions 2074 to 2646 of the family's 2925-position model. Lineage: Eukaryota; Metazoa; Platyhelminthes; Trematoda; Opisthorchiida; Opisthorchiidae. The record is from RNAcentral.